AUGUUUUUCAGGCCACGUUUAGAGGGGACCGACGAGUUAACUUUGGAAACAAAUUCACCAUUCUUCACACGGACACGCCUCCAUAUAAUUUGUCUUGGCCAGUGGAGGAAGGCGAAUAUUAUCUCUUCCAUUUGUUCGAUCCGGACGUUCCGAGUAAGCGAGAUCCCAGGCUACGUGAAUAUAGGCAUUGGACAGUCGCAAUAUUCCAGGGACAAAUGUGGAAAAGGGAUACGUACUAGCAGAAUAUAUUGGACUAAUACGAAAUCACACAAAAGACAUGCUUCAUCGGAACGUGUUCGUUCUGUACAAGCAACCCGAAAAAUUGGAAUUUGACGAUGUUGUAAUCAAGCGCGAUGCGCCAUACUUGGAUCGGGCUUGUUUCUCACACAAAGGUUUUGCACGUGAACAUCGACUGGGGAAACCAAUCGCUGUCAACUUUUUCCAUUAGUUACUGUCACUACUAUUCGUCAACGGUCACCUUGUUAGAUAGUUUCUAUUUUCAUUUUUCUCCUUCUGAUUUCGCAGAAAAUAUCUGGGAUUGCGAAUACUAUUUAAUUUUAUUCAACAUGCAGUAAAACAACACACAUUUAAUCACACAACAAUGAAAACAACUAUGAAAACUCGUAUUUCCAUAGUAGUGCUAUUCCGACAUUUUUUUAGGAGGAACCCAUUUUUAAUUUUCACACGAGACUCUGAGGAAAUAUCUAGGUAUAUAAAGAAGCAAGAAAACAUUACAAACAAUGAAGUUUUGAGUAAAAUCACAUAAUUAUUCAUGCCUGAAAAAAAAUAAAACGUAACAGAAAAUUUGAAAUAUCGCAAACAAGAAUUGUAUAGUGUUGCAUUUCCAAAAUCGAUAUUGCCUUCAAAAGUAACAAUGCUUGCCUUGCCUUGUUUUUAAAUAUCUUGUCUGGUCUUGAGCAUUGGCAUUAAAUUAUGCUGAAUAUGAGAACUUUUCCCCACAUGUAAUGUAAAUAAUGAAAAUUUGACAAUCAACCUAGCUAUACUGAAGCGAGGAUUUUCUUGGCUCUCUUACUUUAAAGCAAAAACUACAUUUCAAACCUCUGUGGGAAGCCAGAUUUAUAUAUAUUUUCAUUUUGGUUUAAUCAGUUAUUAAUGCGUCAAUUUGGAAUGUAGUAUUUAAAGAUUGACGAACGUUGAAAGAAUAAUCAAUUCUCAAUUUAUCAUAAUUGCAGUUGUUUGGCGCCCUUACUCUGAAGUUAUCAUAUAGAGACAGCCAUUGAACUAAUUGAGAUCGUAUCUCGGACAUUAUUUGAUUGUUUGAUAAUAAGUCUAGACGAAGUGUCACAGAAAUUUGAGCGUAUCGUAAUAUUCUGUCCAUCUGAAAAAGUUACCUAUAUUUUGUUGUUUAUCACUUUUUUGUUAUUUUGAACCUCGGAGAGAUAGAGGCGGGUGUGCAACUUUUGAUUAAUUCUGAUAAAAUCUGUUUCCACUUACAAAAUUUUCGAUUAAAUAAGUAACCAGUUACAAAGGGUGAAAUACAGAGGUGCAAAAUUGCAAAAGCGUUAACAAGGAAAGAGGUGGAUUUUUCGAAGUAGAAUCAAGUGUUCAAUUUUGAAGUAGGUAUUUCAAUUGGACGGGUAUAACGUCAACUUUGUGAAUUCUAGUCUUACUCUUGUGCCUUGUCAUGGAGCAUGUGCUAUUCCUCACCGAGAAUCAAUUUAUCGUGUUAUGAAUGCAAAAAACUACAAAUAUCAUCAAACAAUAAUAAG
RNAcentral lists this long non-coding RNA (1730 nucleotides) under Bemisia tabaci. RNAcentral's name for it is "lncRNA ENSSSA1NGG008360". The record is from RNAcentral. Lineage: Eukaryota; Metazoa; Arthropoda; Insecta; Hemiptera; Aleyrodidae.